GACGGAGGAUGCAAGCGUUAUCCGGAAUGAUUGGGCGUAAAGCGUCCGCAGGUGGCAGUUCAAGUCUGCUGUCAAAGACCGGGGCUUAACUUCGGAAAGGCAGUGGAAACUGAACAGCUAGAGUAUGGUAGGGGCAGAGGGAAUUCCUGGUGUAGCGGUGAAAUGCGUAGAGAUCAGGCAGAACAUCGGUGGCGAAGGCGCUCUGCUGGACCAUAACUGACACUCAGGGACGAAAGCUAGGGGAGCGAAUGGG
This 253-nucleotide ribosomal RNA is filed under the name uncultured bacterium. RNAcentral's name for it is "partial 16S ribosomal RNA". It matches the Rfam family "Bacterial small subunit ribosomal RNA", at positions 524 to 776 of the family's 1533-position model. The record is from RNAcentral.